This 820-nucleotide ribosomal RNA is filed under the name Conocybe rickenii. RNAcentral's name for it is "eukaryotic LSU rRNA". It matches the Rfam family "Eukaryotic large subunit ribosomal RNA", at positions 73 to 881 of the family's 3401-position model. Lineage: Eukaryota; Fungi; Basidiomycota; Agaricomycetes; Agaricales; Bolbitiaceae. The record is from RNAcentral.
GAUUCCCCUAGUAACUGCAGUGAAGCGGGAAAAGCUCAAAUUUAAAAUCUGGCAGUCUUUGAUUGUCCGAGUUGUAAUCUAGAGAAGUGUUAUCCGCGUUGGACCGUGUACAAGUCUCCUGGAAUGGAGCAUCAUAGAGGGUGAGAAUCCCGUCUUUGACACGGACUACCAGUGCUUUGUGAUGCGCUCUCAAAGAGUCGAGUUGUUUGGGAAUGCAGCUCAAAAUGGGUGGUAAAUUCCAUCUAAAGCUAAAUAUUGGCGAGAGACCGAUAGCGAACAAGUACCGUGAGGGAAAGAUGAAAAGAACUUUGGAAAGAGAGUUAAACAGUACGUGAAAUUGCUGAAAGGGAAACGCUUGAAGUCAGUCGCGUUGGCUGGAAAUCAACCUUGCUUUUGCUGGGCGUACUUUCUAGUCAAUGGGUCAGCAUCAAUUUUGACCAUUGGAAAAAGUGUAGAGGAAUGUGGCAUCUUCGGAUGUGUUAUAGCCUUUGCUCGCAUACAGUGGUUGGGAUUGAGGAAUUCAGCACGCCGCAAGGCCGGGUUUCGACCACGUUCGUGCUUAGGAUGCUGGCAUAAUGGCUUUAAUCGACCCGUCUUGAAACACGGACCAAGGAGUCUAACAUACCUGCGAGUGUUUGGGUGGAAAACCCAAGCGCGUAAUGAAAGUGAAAGUUGAGAUCCCUGUCGUGGGGAGCAUCGACGCCCGGACCAGACCUUUUGUGACGGANCUGCGGUAGANCAUGUAUGUUGGGACCCGAAAGAUGGUGNNCUAUGCCUGAAUAGGGUGAAGCCAGAGGAAACUCUGGUGGAGGCCCGUAGC